GGAAGGGAACCUAGCGUGUCGAGUGCUUACUCUGUGUGGCAUUGUGCUAGGUGUUGUUUAAAAUUAGCACAUUGAAUCUCAACAAGGUGUGAGACACAUAGCCUGAUUUCUCAUUUUAUGGUGGAAGAAACUGAGGUUCAGCCAUCUAUUUAUUUCCUUGACUCACACAGCUGGAAUUCUGAACAAAAACUCAAACCUACAUCCAGCAUGAAGGUCUCACUCGCCGUCCAGAAGUGCGACAAACAGCAUGGAGUUACUGCUAAAAUUAUAACUAAAGAGGAGGAAGAAAGACUAAUUAAUCAAGUGUGGUAUCAGUCGAAAGUUCGAUAUGUUAUCUCUUUGGUCACCAGACUCCUGGCAGGAGAAAGGCUUCCAGGAUCCAGUGUGGGUGUUUUUUCCAUUGCUAAUCACCGUGACCUGCCAGGCUGAAAUGCAGAGAUAGGUGAGGAAACCUGGAUUCCCGCUUGAUCCUCUGGCGCAGAGCUGCCCACCCAGGCUGGAGAGCUUGCCUAGCUCAUUGUGGUCCAUGAGAAUGAAACAAACUCCUGCUAUGUUUGGUAAAGUCUUAACUAUUUUCCAAGUAUCCCCUCCAGAAAAGUGUUGUGGGAUUUACCAAUGGGAAGGGGAACCCAGGGUGCGGUGGGGGAUUAUAAGAAAUCCUGCUGGAGUGCCUCUCCUGUAGCAGGCCCUGGGCAGUGGGGGGCCAUGCAGGAUCCCAUUAAGGCUUCAUGUUGAGCCCACAGGACACUCAGCAUUUAGACUUCUGCCCACAUGGGCCUUGACUGCCAAGCGAGUAAGGACCAAACAGCACCACUUAUGGAAGAAUUUUGCUUCCCUCUUCCCCAUCCUUCUUUAAGACCAAAAAGCGCUAGAGAAGAAAGGGGAGGGAGGAAAGUGCGAGAGAAGAGCACACUCCCUUCCACGGUGGACAGCAGGUCUCCUGAGUCAGGAGGGAGAUGAUGAGGUUGGGUAUGAGUUUGAAGCUUUAAGCUGGAUCAAUUGUAUUACAUUUCAUUUUUUUGUAUCUGAAAAUGAGCAUAAAGUGCUAAAUAAAAUGUUAUUUAGGGCAGAGGGAGUGAGGUUCAACAGAGCUUUUUUGGGGCAGUCACUGGAAGAAAUAGUAUUUUUCAUGUUUGGACUCUACUCAGUUUAGACCAGUCAAUAAACUGGUUACAAACUGAAAAAAAAAAAAUAGCUAGAAUUAUAGCUCUAGCCCUCCUCCCACCCUGGUUUGGCCGAGGCCCGCUACCUUAGAAAAGGCACAUGUGUGUAUCUGUGUGAAGAGGGGCUGGAGACAGGGGUGAGUACCGGAGAUCCAGACGCGGGAACCCCAGCGGCUCAGAGGCCGAGGGCUGGUCAGCAGCGCCCUGCAGGGCUUCAGAGGGCAGGUGCUUCUCCUCCACACCCACCCGUGUUUCCUCUUUGUGGGACGAGCUCAGUGGGAGUAACUCUCUCGCCUCUCUAGGGCUCUUUACUCUCUCCCUCCCAGGACAGCUGGAAAACUUCACUGAUUGGCGACUUGGGGAUGAAUAAAGGGCACAGUCAGCGGAACUCCUCCCUACUCCUUCUGAGAGUAAGUGUCCCAAGGGCUGUAUACUUGAUGUCUCCACACACAAGUGGCACAGGACACGGACCCCACCUGGGGACCCUGCAGUGGUUCAGGGCUCCAUGGGUCUGGGUGGCAAAGGAAAGGAUUAGCAUUGUUGGGCCCUCCCAAUGCAACCCUGAGGGCAUCCACAUGGACAAGCAGAAAACAGCACACUCCAGACAAGAGAAACAGCGGCCCAAGGACAGUCCAGGAGACAUGAUCGGAAAGCAGCUCAAAUUAUCAAAUUUCCAACCCCACCUUGGCACUCCCAGAGAGAUGCAAAAAAAGAAAGUCUGAGGAAGCCAUGUGGCAGGUGAGGCUGGUAACAGAGCAGAUUUGGGGGCAAACUCUUAAAGUGACUUAACCUGGUUCCAUCAGGAUGGCAAUUAAGGGAAGAUUUGUGCUGCAAGAAUCAACUAAUACUUGAAGACCUCCUGAUAGGUAAAUAAUACUAUUCCAGGUGUUUUAUGGAGCUUAGGGGACAAGCUGUCUAACACCUAAUACGUUUAUAGUCUAAUACAAUUUACUGAAAUGUCAACUUUUCUUCCUGCCGCGGAAGGAAAGAAACCACAUUUUCCUCAGAGGUUUCCACUCAUUCUUUGAGUUUUAUCCCUCCUUGUUUUAUUGAUUCUGCAGCUUGGUGGGAAAGGUAUGAGAUUAGAUUAAAGGAACCAACCAGUGAGAUCCAGCUGAACCGCUCAAAUUCCAUUGAAGGACUGAAGAUUCUCGGGACGCAGGGUUUUGCAGAUGUUCAUUUCAAACCACCUUUUAAAAAGUAGAGGUGCAGGUACAUGUGCUUCGCCAUUCCUAACUGAUUUUUAUCUUGUAGGAGAAAAUUCUGAGCUCAGCACAAUUCUUGUCCUAAAGAAGUGUUUCAUAAUGAUGCUCAUACAAAUUCUUGUUACAACACAGCUAACAAGAGCCAGCUAACCGCCGACUAGAAGCCAGCCCUGGUGGUCUCGUGGUGAAGAUCUUGCGCUCUCACUGCCACGACCUGGGUUCCUGACCCCAUCGGGGCACCACACCACUUGUCUGUCGAUUGUCGUCCUGUGGCGGCUGCAUGUUGCUGUGGUGUGAAAGCUAUGUCACCGGGAUUUCAAGUGCCAGCAGGGUCACCCAUGGUGGACAGGUGUCAGGGAGCUUCCAGACUAAGACAGGACCUGGCCACUCACUUCCGAAAAGAUGGGUCACGUAAACCCUGAGAACAGCAGCGGCACAGGAAGGUGAGAGGGUGGCCCAAAGGACUGGGCAGGGACACAGUGUCACUGGGAGUUGCAGUCCACUCCACGGCGCUAACGUCAAAGGAGACUAGAAGUCAAAGAAGCAAAGAGUGAGCGAGCGGCGGUGGGGGACCGUUAGAGGCGGGCGCCCGCAAUCAGCAGGAUGACGUCUCACAUGCGGCCAGUGAGGAUGCUCCGGAGAACCUGCGCGUUCCCACGUCCCACAGACUUCUGAGCACCUCCGUGUGCCAGCCUCUGUUCUGGGCCCCCAGGGGCUGUCGGCAAACAAUCAGUCGAGGUCUCUGUCCUCAGGAAGCUUGCAUUCCAGCAGGUUUCUCGUUGAACAGCAAACCCGUGGGUGUGUUUGGGAGGUUGGCACACGCCUCGUGGAUUGUGGUAGCUACAGCUCACUCAUGGCAGUGACGGCGAGGAUAACUGAGAGCCAUUCUGGGCCCACCGUGGGCCAGGCGCCGCCCCUGCCUUCUGCACGGCAGCUUCUUCGGCCCUCAUUGAAACCCUCGGGUUCUCUUUUCUCCUGAACCGGUCACUAUGGCUAAGCAGCGUGGCAUGCUCUGAUGGUGAAUCAGCCCGCUGUCUGGGACAGCCCGCCGUGCCCUCCCCUCCCUGCCACACCUGCACCUCCUUGGGUCUGAAACAAAUGUCAUCGGUCCCCUCAGAGCCAUGUUGAUGGAGCAGAUACUGGGCUGGGGUGAGGGUCGGCUUGCCGGAGGAGGUGACACUGGGCAGACCAGUAAACAUGUCCCAAGUCACACACAGGCCAUUCUAGGACGUCAGCACUCAGAGUCCAUAACGCACAUGUUGUCCGCGGCCACAAAGGGCCAGGAAUGACAGGCACCGCCAAGGCUACUUGGUUGUUUAAGCAAUCAGAGUUUAUUGAUAAAGGGAACAGAACAAGCAGGGAAGCAAACAACAAAUCAGUGCUUACAACAUCCACACCACAGUCAGCCGGGAAGUCCCCAUAGUUUGUACAGUGGGCGGGAAUGCCCAUUGUCCUGGUCUGAGGCAAAGCGUCCUUUCCUCAGUGAGACUCCCAAUUAUUCUAUGCCUAUGACUCCCUUUUAUCCUAAGGUUUCUCUAGGUUCUGACUCAGGGUUUCAGACAUUUAGAUACUCUGAGUUAUUUCUUCUUGUUCCCAUGGAUGGAGUGUUUUUAUCUUUUUUGUUCCCACGGAUGGGAUGUUUCUAAAGUCCCAUCAGGUGCCCGUUGGGGUGGCCAGCCCAGACAAGGAACAUGACGCAGGACAUAUUCUUUGUAACUUGUGCCUUAGAGUCAGGGCCGAAGUGGCCAUCUUUGGCCCUGAGCCAGACACAUUCCUUCACGUAGGGCCCAGGCCCAGUGUCCUUGGAAGGCGGGGAGAUCAAUGAACUCCAUACAGCACGAGUGUUGUGGCAGGAUGGAGCAGAAAUGGGACCACUGUAACCCCAUUUUAUAAAUGAGAGCACCAAGGCACAAAGGGCCACGGGACUUGCUCAGGUUCCCACACCUAAUAAAUGGUGGAGAUGGGAUUUUGGUCUGACUCUCGAGGCCACGCCUUCAUCCCUGCACUAUUCCGAUAAAGUCAUAAAGACAACUUUCCUUAUCAUAGUUCAAGGGUUUGAAGAUGCCUGUCUUUCCCAUUUUAACAUCUCUAUGCUGGGAUGUGUCAUAUGAUAGAUGUGACAAGGAUAGGCAGCAUCAGUUUAAUUGGCAGCAUUCUGUCUUCCUCCAUGGCACAUAAAAUAAUAGUGCAUCUGGCAGAAAAGUCACCUGAGGGGAUGAAGCGCUGUGUUCUUUCAACAAACAUUGAUAAUGUGCCUACUCCAGACGGCUGUACCAGGCGUGCUGUGCAGAGGAGUGGGAGACACAGAGUCAGAGGAUUAAGGAUCGCCCACAAUGCAACGUGAGUGUGCAGUGGAGUCAUGCCUGGGAGGGUGUGGGAGCACAAAGGGGGACACUAGCCAGAGGGCUCUGGGAAGCCUUCCCAGAGGAUGGAAUAUGGGUGGUUGGAGGAAGGAGGUAAGUUUGGGGGGACAAAAGUGGCUCCAUCCUGAGGGAGGAUAAAAUACGGGGCAGAGAGCAGUUCACGAUGAGGCUUGAGGCGCUCAGCACCAUUGAUGUAAUGAUGCAUGACUCAGCUGGACCACGGAGGUUCAUGGAUGUCAUGCUGUGCACACUGCAAGCAACGAGGAUCCACUUAAGGAGUGCGAGCAGGCCAUGGCCAGAGCCCAUGUUGGGAAGUUCCCUGUGGGAGCUUGGUGCCCAGCGGUUUGAACUGGAGGCUGGUUCAGGGGCUGAGACGGUCAUUGAGAAGGCCAGCAUCCAGGGAGCCAGUGUCAGAGCGCAGAGGAGGAGGUCUGAAACUAGAGAUGAAAUUGGAGAGGCUUGGUGACUGGAACUGGGGGCGAGGCGGAGAGAAGAGUCAGGGACGAUUUCCAGGUUCUGCGCUUGGACAACUGGCUAGGUGGUGAUGCCGCUGACUAGGGCAGAGAAUAAAGAAAAAGGAACAGUUUAGGGAGAAAGACGAUGUGUAUGAUGAUGUGCGUGUUGAGUCUGAGGGUUCUCCACCAUAAGGAGGUGGCGUUUGUGACUAAGUGGAGCCUUCAGGUUUGAAGACAGAGUCAGAGGUCAGUAACAUUGGGAGUGAGUUAAAACUGUGGGCUCCUUAAGGGGGGAGACUCUGUUUUUCUGUCUUCCCCCUAUUUUUAGUGCCUAGCUUGGGAACUGGCACAUAAUCAAUGCUCGAUAAACAGUUGCCCUUAUGUAAGUAUAAUGAUCAUCAUAAUCUAUGGUGUCUAUGAGAACGUGUGUGCGGAAGUGUGUCUGCAUGUGUGUGUGUGUGGUUACAGUGCUUUUUUUUUUUUUUUUUUUUAAAGAUUUUAUUUUUUCCUUUUUCUCCCCAAAGCCCCCCGGUACAUAGUUGUGUAUUCUUCAUUGUGGGUUCCUCUAGUUGUGGCAUGUGGGACGCUGCCUCAGCGUGGUCUGACGAGCAGUGCCAUGUCCGCGCCCAGGAUUCGAACCGACGAAACACUGGGCCUCCUGCAGCGGAGCGCGCGAACUUAACCACUCGGCCACGGGGCCAGCCCCUACAGUGCUUUUUAUAUGCUAGGCACUCUUCUAAGAUCCCUGCAGGCUUUAACUCUCGUUUCCUUCCUGAAGUAACACAUGAGGUAUGUACCACAGUUACCCGCACCUUAUAGACGGGGCCACUGAGGCACAGAGAGCCUGACUAACUUGCCUGCUUCCCAGAGCGGGAAGUGGUUGAGCUAGGAUUUAAAGCAGGGUGACCUGGCUUCUCUGUGCCUUUGGUCUAGUUUUUUGUUUUAAAUAAAAUUUUCCUUCUUUUAGCAAUUGGUAAAGAAAAAAUUUCAGCACACAAAAGGUUAAGCUCCAGCGGUUUGGAAGUUUUAUUCUUUCGUCUCACUUGGCAAAUGCACAUUCAUAUGACAAGAUUCAGCCUGAGCAUCACCGUCUUUAUGAACCUUUCCUUGGCCCCAGGUCUUUUCUUCCAAAGUUAAGCUCUCCUUCCUCUGGGCUCCCCUAUACCCUUAGGAUGCUGCCAUUAAAGUAUUUACCACUUUGUACUGAAUCUUUUUUUUUCUCAACUUGAAUCCUUCCUGAAGAUGGAGACUAGCGUUUGCUAAUUGAAUGAAUGAAGAAAAAAGGUUUUCCUCAUUUUACUGACAUUUGACAAAUAAGGUGUUAGCAUAGACAGCACACUUCCUGCUCUCUCCGAGCUUCCAGUGCAGCUGCAGGGACCACCACAGAAGGGCCACCUUCCCCCACACGCAGAACCUUGGAGUACGGUGUGUUGCCACAGGUCAAUCAGCCACAGCCGCUCCUCAUAGCAAGAGCCGAGCUUAGGGCCUCAUUGCCUCUGCCUCAUCCCGUGUCCAGGGAGGAAGUGAGGGGUGCUCCCACGAUGCCUGUAGGGGGACAUCCACGCGCUCCCCCAAAGCUGGAGCCCAGACAACAUAGACACCAGGUGCUGACACUGGAAAUCCGGGAAUUCCUUUAAUAUUCAAGAUCUCGGUUUCUUCUCUUUGAUGUAACGGGAUCUAGGAAUGCUCAGAACACCCCCUGAAACCCCUGUUUCCUAAAGACCUGUUUAUAUUAGUCCUUGCUCUGUGUUUAUUUGGGAGUAAAAUCCACGUUUGGAAUCCUCGCAGCAUAUGGUGAGUGUUUGCUGUACGGGGUGGGGUACCUGUUUCUGCAUCAUGUGACGAAAGUGCAGCAGCUGUAAUAUCUCAUUACAGGGCUUCACUUUAUUUAAUUAAAAAAAUAGCACUGCUCUACUUAACAAUAUUAUCCUCGUCCCCCACCCACCCGCAAAACCUGAUCUGCAGUUUCGAUGCCUCUGCCGUAAUCGCUUCGGACGGUCUGCACGUGACGUGGGUGAGCUCGAGGAUCGGCUUUCCAUCUCGUUGCUUCAGACGGUGCUUUCACUGUGAGCCAUUAGUCACCAGAUGCUGACAAGUGUUUGUACGGAUGCCAUCUCCCCCUUUGUUUAUAUGCAAGUGCAGCAACCGAAAUGAUUUAUUUAUGCCUUAAUUAAAAUUUGUGGAUAGACCAGUGAGUUUUAGCAGUGACUUUUCUAAUUUGUGGGUUCCAGAAAGAAAAAAAUCAAUAACCUGAUACCAUUUAUGUUUUUAUAGUUACCCAGGCAUUUAUAAUGCAGACCUGCCACUCACCUGCAGCCUCCCUUGGAGGAGAGUGGUCCUCGCCACAUAAAUCUCCCCCAGAGGCCGAGAGGGUCCAUAUUUCAGAGUCACUUCCCUUCUGUGUCAGCUGCGAGUGAGAUGUUACAUGCUUUCCAUUCUCAUGGUUCUCAUGGCAAGGCACAGGCUAAAAUUCACAUUGAAAGUAAAUUGAUGGACUGUAAGUUUUAUAAUACCUGACCCAAUCUGUAAUGACUGCUUAGAAUUUUAAUAAUUUAAGCCCAAUGAAUGUGAUUCCUGCAUAUCGCUCUCCACAUUGAGAAUGUACCCCAUAGGGUCUUUGGAAAGAACUUACCCCAAAUGCCGAGCUUUUAUGGGAACUUAAUAUAUUCGACAUUGCAGGUGCAUAAAUCUCCAUGAAAUUGCACCAAGUUAACGUAUUUACUGGUGCAUGCAAUUUAGUAACUACUUUGUAAAAGUCUAAAUAAAGAUAGAUAAGACAGGUAGAUAUGGAGAAAUAAUGAGUAAAUGUUCCAAUGUAUAUUAACAAGAUGAGUUAAUUGCCUUCGCAAGGCUAUCAGCCUCACUGGAAAAGAAUUAAUUAAUUUUCAAGGUGUUUGGGAUGGUUUUAAUUGCUGUUUCUCAAAGUCUGGGGGAAAUGAGCUGUUUUUGCAUUUUCUGCCAAACUCAAGUUAUUCUCUCCCCAAUAGUCAGAGCUGGGGGGUGCGAGGGGAGUGAUGACAAGCUGGGUGGAAAGAGAGAUGCUCAGUUUUGCUCGCCUCUCCCCCCGCCCCCCGGAGAUAAAGGCACAAGUAGCGAGGAAAAGCUCAUUUUAUUCAGAAAAUCCUCUUAAGAAGGACCCCGCUUGAGUUCCUGCAGCCUCCUCUUCUUCAGAAUACGAAUCUUCCGAAUCUUCCGCAGUCCAUGCUCACACUCAUGCGCACGUGUUUGACUUUUCCCCUUCUCUCCUGCCUCCCCCUUCCCUUAG
This is a long non-coding RNA of Equus caballus (horse), 8451 nucleotides long. The record is from Ensembl. NCBI's taxonomy places the organism in Eukaryota, Metazoa, Chordata, Mammalia, Perissodactyla, Equidae.